RNAcentral lists this ribosomal RNA (465 nucleotides) under Vreelandella stevensii. RNAcentral's name for it is "partial 16S ribosomal RNA". It matches the Rfam family "Bacterial small subunit ribosomal RNA", at positions 338 to 795 of the family's 1533-position model. The record is from RNAcentral. Lineage: Bacteria; Pseudomonadati; Pseudomonadota; Gammaproteobacteria; Oceanospirillales; Halomonadaceae.
CCUACGGGGGGCAGCAGUGGGGAAUAUUGGACAAUGGGGGGAACCCUGAUCCAGCCAUGCCGCGUGUGUGAAGAAGGCCCUCGGGUUGUAAAGCACUUUCAGUGAGGAAGAACGCCUGGUGGUUAAUACCCAUCAGGAAAGACAUCACUCAUAGAAGAAGCACCGGCUAACUCCGUGCCAGCAGCCGCGGUAAUACGGAGGGUGCGAGCGUUAAUCGGAAUUACUGGGCGUAAAGCGCGCGUAGGUGGCUUGAUAAGCCGGUUGUGAAAGCCCCGGGCUCAACCUGGGAACGGCAUCCGGAACUGUCAAGCUAGAGUGCAGGAGAGGAAGGUAGAAUUCCCGGUGUAGCGGUGAAAUGCGUAGAGAUCGGGAGGAAUACCAGUGGCGAAGGCGGCCUUCUGGACUGACACUGACACUGAGGUGCGAAAGCGUGGGUAGCAAACAGGAUUAGAUACCCUAGUAGUC